Ixodes scapularis (black-legged tick) is the source of this 82-nucleotide non-coding RNA. The record is from Rfam. NCBI's taxonomy places the organism in Eukaryota, Metazoa, Arthropoda, Arachnida, Ixodida, Ixodidae.
GCAGUCGUGGCCGAGUGGUUAAAACGAUGGACUAGAAAUCCAUUAGGGUCUCCCCAGACAGGUUCGAAUCUUAUCGACUGCG